CAGUAGCCGCGGGAACACAGAGGGUGCAAGCGUUAAUCGGAAUUACUGGGCGUAAAGCGCGCGUAGGUGGUUUGUUAAGUUGGAUGUGAAAGCCCCGGGCUCAACCUGGGAACUGCAUCCAAAACUGGCAAGCUAGAGUACGGUAGAGGGUGGUGGAAUUUCCUGUGUAGCGGUGAAAUGCGUAGAUAUAGGAAGGAACACCAGUGGCGAAGGCGACCACCUGGACUGAUACUGACACUGAGGUGCGAAAGCGUGGGGAGCAAACAGGAUUAGAUACCCGAGUAGUCCCUGUCUCUUAUAC
Molecule: ribosomal RNA, 301 nt
Filed under: uncultured bacterium
Lineage: Bacteria
Description: partial 16S ribosomal RNA
Rfam family: Bacterial small subunit ribosomal RNA
Source: RNAcentral